RNAcentral lists this ribosomal RNA (300 nucleotides) under uncultured bacterium. Its description in RNAcentral is "bacterial SSU rRNA". It matches the Rfam family "Bacterial small subunit ribosomal RNA", at positions 335 to 627 of the family's 1533-position model. The record is from RNAcentral.
CCGCCUACGGGGGGCAGCAGUAUUGAAUCUUCCACACUAGUCGAAAGCCUGAUGGAGCAACGCCGCGUGGGUGAAGAAGGUCUUCGGAUCGUAAAGCCCUGUUGUUAGAGAAGAAAGUGCGUGAGAGUAACUGUUCACGUUUCGACGGUAUCUAACCAGAAAGCCACGGCUAACUACGUGCCAGCAGCCGCGGUGAUACGUAGGCGGCAAGCGUUAUCCGGAUUUAUUGGGCGUAAAGGGAACGCAGGCGGUCUUUUAAGUCUGAUGUGAAAGCCUUCGGCUUAACCGGAGUAGUGCAUU